Molecule: ribosomal RNA, 254 nt
Filed under: uncultured bacterium
Lineage: Bacteria
Description: partial 16S ribosomal RNA
Rfam family: Bacterial small subunit ribosomal RNA
Source: RNAcentral
UACGGGGGGAGCAAGCGUUGUUCGGAUUUACUGGGCGUAAAGGGCGCGUAGGCGGCCAGCGCAAGUCAGUUGUGAAAUCUCUGGGCUUAACCCAGAACGGCCAAGUGAAGCUGACAUGCUAGAGUGCAGAAGGGGCAAUCGGAAUUCUUGGUGUAGCGGUGAAAUGCGUAGAUAUCAAGAGGAACACCUGAGGUGAAGACGGGUUGCUGGGCUGACACUGACGCUGAGGCGCGAAAGCCAGGGGAGCAAACGGG